GCCAAUUACAAAAUUAAACAGUCCUUCAGACAUUGGAUGAAGCACCGGUGCCUCUAUCAAGUGGAUGCCCCCAGCAUUCAGAAGAGGCAGAAUGAAGAAGAAAUUGAGGGAGAGACCAACCAAAUCAUUGACUGUUUCUGAACUAAUUGCCCAUACAGGAUCUCCAGGUGCAUAAGGAAGUAAAAAGAGCCACAAUACAUAAACGCCUUCUGCGGUCCACAGUAUAGCCUGAGUUAAUUUCCUCGAUUUAUCAUCCCUUUCAAUAAUUGAAUCCACUCCUCCGCCACCGCGACGGCCGCCGCCAGCUCUAGUGGUAAAAACCGGUAUCCGACGACCUAAUUGUAUACUCUUCUUCACUUUAAGCUUCAACCCUAACAGAGAACUUGUCUCGGACAAUUUCACAUUUCGUCCAAAUGCCGAAUUAUAGUCCCGUCUUCCAUGGAUAGCAGAUUGAUUUCCGUAUAUGAGAGUCUUUGUGCAUAGCAGAGUUGCCGCCGGCAUUUCCGAAGUUCGCCGGAAAAUGGCUUCUGUAAAA
RNAcentral lists this unclassified non-coding RNA (535 nucleotides) under Hevea brasiliensis (rubber tree). Lineage: Eukaryota; Viridiplantae; Streptophyta; Magnoliopsida; Malpighiales; Euphorbiaceae. The record is from RNAcentral.